UCGGGAAUUUUGGGCAAUGGGCGAAAGCCUGACCCAGCAACGCCGCGUGAAGGAUGAAGUAUUUCGGUAUGUAAACUUCGAAAGAAUAGGAAGAAUAAAUGACGGUACUAUUUAUAAGCCCCGGCUAACUACGUGCCAGCAGCCGCGGUAAUACGUAGGGGGCAAGCGUUGUCCGGAUUUAUUGGGCGUAAAGAGCGUGUAGGCGGCCAGGUAGGUCGGUUGUGAAAACUGGAGGCUCAACCUUCAGACGUCGACCGAAACCAUCUGGCUAGAGUCCGGAAGAGGAGAAUGGAAUUCCUGGUGUAGCGGUGAAAUGCGCAGAUAUCAGGAAGAACACCCGUGGCGAAAGCGGUUCUCUGGGACGGUACUGACGCUGAGACGCGAAAGCGUGGGGAGCGAACAGGAUUAGAUACCCCAGUAGUCCCUGAGCGGGCUGGCAAGGCGCAU
RNAcentral lists this ribosomal RNA (447 nucleotides) under uncultured bacterium. Its description in RNAcentral is "bacterial SSU rRNA". It matches the Rfam family "Bacterial small subunit ribosomal RNA", at positions 355 to 825 of the family's 1533-position model. The record is from RNAcentral.